AUGAUGAAACUGAGGUUUGGCCUGGCCAUCAUAACCAUGGAUAGAGGACCUGGGUUAUGUCAGGACCCUCUGUUGCUGCAACCAACAGUCAAGUGUCUUAUUGGAUUAUUGAGGCUUGAAGGCAUAACUUUUGACAAGCAUUACACUGACCUUGGGAGGGAAUUCUUUGUGCCAACAAAAUCACAGAGCUGUCCUUUUUCUUGUAAUGAAGCUGAGAUAACAGUCAGGGAGUACAUUGGAAAGGCAGAACAUUGUACUGAAGAUCUGUGGCACUUGGAAAAUGUCUACCUAAGAUUCUCUCAGAGGGAAAAUUAAUUGAAAUACAAAAUGGAAAAGCUAAAGAAAACAAGUGAACUACUGUGGGUCCCUUAGGUUCUUCCAUUUUGGCUGAAGCUGUUUCCGCUGAUGAAUAAGAGCUGCCCGUUUGCUCCAUGCUAUGGCUGCUGCUAACUGCUGUGGAUGUCUUUGCUUAAGGAAUGUCUCAAGAAAAACAAACUGUGCUUGUAAGUUGUGAAUUCCAGAAAACAGAUGAGGCGAAUUCUCUCUCCUCUUCCUUCUCUUCCUUUUCCUUUUCCAAAUAGCAGGGUCAAAUUGGAACCAAAGCUUAUUGUACAAACAGAAGCAAAUGAAAGAAAUAUUGGAUUUGUAUGAGCUUCUUAUGGAAUUACUAGUUCUAAAACCAAAUACAUACGCAGAGUGAAUGCUACUGAAUCAGAUAGAAAAUACAACUUGGAGCAGAAGAGAUAGCAACACACAUUUAGAAUACAAUGGUAAUGAGAGACAUGUGGAGGAUACAGUGGUACCAAAUGGGUAACGUAACUCCUGGAAAUUUACAACUAGGAAGACCUUUCUUGAGUGUAAAACCAGCACUACUUUUUGGUGUAAAAGAAUAUUCUCCUUAAACUUGUCUUGUCCAUUAAGGGACUAGCUUUUCUUUUGUAUACACCUGUCCUCACUGUGCCACUCAACUAAAUGAGCUACACAUGUUCUACAUGUGUGGGAUUGUCUCCUACUAGUCCACUCUCUCUGAUGAGAUGGUUUAUGUGAAGUAGCCAGAAGAGAGAAAGAAAUUCCUUCCCACAAGUGUUUCACUCUUAGGAAUUAUGGAAUCAUAAGCUUUCAAACGAGUUCUCUAAUACAGGACUGCUCCAACUCUGGAAUCCAGGUUACUGUUGACAGUCUUCUAGUUAUUUGUAUUCCCCAGAGGCUUGGUUAAUAAGUUUGGUCAGUCAAUCUGUUAUUCCUUUCUUUACCUAAUCAAAGAAGUUCCCGCCUCAUAAAGACAUCACAGAGUAUAGAACAUCUUAUUUACACUUUUUUAAAUGAUAUUUUACAAAUUUCAUGUAAUAAUUUUUCACAUAAGUUUUCUCAAGUCAUAGGCUUCAAACUGUCUCCCUUUGUCCCGUCCCUCCCCUUUCCUGGAGAUGACAAGCAAUUGGAUGUGGAUUUUACAUGUAAUAUCAUGCAAAAUAUAUUUCUAUAUUAUUCAUUUUUGUAAGGUAAUAAUAAUAAAACUAAAAUCCCCAAAUAUACUCUUUUCA
RNAcentral lists this long non-coding RNA (1541 nucleotides) under Monodelphis domestica (gray short-tailed opossum). Its description in RNAcentral is "lncRNA (ENSMODG00000040479.1)". The record is from RNAcentral. Lineage: Eukaryota; Metazoa; Chordata; Mammalia; Didelphimorphia; Didelphidae.